UACGGAGGGUGCAAGCGUUGUCCGGAUUUAUUGGGUUUAAAGGGUGCGUAGGCGGCUCUAUAAGUCAGUGGUGAAAUACUUGGGCUUAACCUAAGAACUGCCAUUGAUACUGCAGAGCUUGAGUACUGUGGAAGUAGGCGGAAUUGACAGUGUAGCGGUGAAAUGCAUAGAUAUUGUCAAGAACACCGAUAGCGAAGGCAGCUUACUACAGAGUAACUGACGCUGAGGCACGAAAGCGUGGGGAUCAAACAGG
This 253-nucleotide ribosomal RNA is filed under the name uncultured bacterium. Its description in RNAcentral is "partial 16S ribosomal RNA". It matches the Rfam family "Bacterial small subunit ribosomal RNA", at positions 524 to 776 of the family's 1533-position model. The record is from RNAcentral.